UCUACUCAGUAGCUAGAAAUAGCCCCAAAGAAACUAUUACAGAGGAAUAAUGUACUGGAAAAGAAAGAAUCAGAGCCCAUAGAACUUUGAAGAAACCUUCACAUGAGUGUUUUAAAAGAGAUUAUUCCCAACAGAGCUGUGGAUCCUGUUUGGUCAUACCUUCUUCAGGAGGAAUCUGAGAGGCACAGAUAUUCAUGAAUUUGGCUGGCAGCUGAGCAGCAGAUUUCUGUGGAGGAGAUUUCUGAGGAAACUUAAGAAGCAAAAACUAUCCAAAAAUCACCAAGAGAGAAAUUAAGGGGCAUUUUUAAAGUGCUUCUGGCAGAAACAUUUUACAAGAGAGGAUGCCCUGGGCUUCUUCCUGGAAGCUAGAAGACUCUGUGUGUGGGGAGGCUGACGCCAGCCAUGCAAAGCCGGUGAUCUGGACAAAUGUACACCUGAUCAGCUGAUCUGGAAAAUUCUCCUCAUUCAUCACCCAGUAUGCUUGCUUACCCCAAAACAUGCACACACAAUGUACUUUCAGCAUUUCAGAAAGCGGGCAUUUUCCCUCAAAUACUGGAGAAAAUAGAAGUGGCUGCCUAUUACUCCACAGGUUGCCAGAUUCAAGGUGAGAGGAGAGGGCGCUCUGAAGAUGAGCUCUUUCUAUGGAGUGUACCUUUCCAGAAAUAUUUUUGCACAGAAAAUAGAGGGUUCCUAAGAAGCAUGUGAGCGGUUCUUUAUUUCCAUGGUCUCACACAAGCAAAGGGGCAGGCUUUAAGGAGCCAUUUCCAUAUUAAGUUUAAGUUUACUGGUCAAAGAUAAUACCCUAAGUUACACCCAGGAAUGAAAUCCAAACAGGUGAGCACUGAGUGCUUCCUGCAAGAAUGCCUGGUCAGCAAGCCAGCAGUGACAUGCCACUCCAGCUGUAAGUAAUCCUAACCUGGGGCCAAAUUAUGCAGGGUCUGAACUGUGCUCUGCACUUGGCACAGAGUAAAUUGGCAAUCUAACAGGCAAAGAGUUUGCUGUCUAAAUUUAGAUGUGUUGCUACAAUGAGAACAACCAAUAUGGUGAUUAUGGACAAAGGGAAUAUAGGAAUCACAGCCUUCUCCUCAAAACUGCUUGGAUCUGGCACAUGUCAUGUUUUGAUGAUGUUUCUAUUAAUUUUAAAGAUAUCGUUCAAUAAAAUUGGGCCUCACCAU
Cygnus atratus (black swan) is the source of this 1175-nucleotide long non-coding RNA. RefSeq lists it as uncharacterized. The record is from RefSeq and is a predicted model, not a curated record. NCBI's taxonomy places the organism in Eukaryota, Metazoa, Chordata, Aves, Anseriformes, Anatidae. The transcript has 3 exons.